GAUGAAGAACGCAGCGAAAUGCGAUAAGUAGUGUGAAUUGCAGAAUUCAGUGAAUCAUCGAAUCUUUGAACGCACAUUGCGCCUCCUGGUAUUCCGGGAGGCAUGCCUGUUCGAGCGUCAUUAUAACCCCUCAAGCUCGGCUUGGUGUUGGGGCCUGCCGCACGGGCAGCCCUUAAAAUCAGUGGCGGUGCCAUCUGGCUCUAAGCGUAGUAAUUCUUCUCGCUAUAGAGUCCCGGUGGAUGCUUGCCAUUAACCCCCAAUUUCAAUGGUUGACCUCGGAUCAGGUAGGGAUACCCGCUGAACUUAAGCAUAUCAAUAAGCGGAGGA
RNAcentral lists this unclassified non-coding RNA (327 nucleotides) under soil metagenome. RNAcentral describes it as "partial contains 5.8S ribosomal RNA, internal transcribed spacer 2, and large subunit ribosomal RNA". The stretch from base 1 to 120 matches the Rfam family "5.8S ribosomal RNA", at positions 35 to 154 of the family's 154-position model. The record is from RNAcentral.